UUUUUUUUCCAGUUCAUAUUCAUGAUGAUUAGGUAUUCACAGGUUUGUGUGACAUGUUACAUACUCGGCACAUAAAACUCAUUACA
This 86-nucleotide small nucleolar RNA is filed under the name Sorex araneus (European shrew). Its description in RNAcentral is "Small nucleolar RNA U13 (ENSSARG00000019064.1)". Lineage: Eukaryota; Metazoa; Chordata; Mammalia; Eulipotyphla; Soricidae. The record is from RNAcentral.